RNAcentral lists this ribosomal RNA (447 nucleotides) under uncultured bacterium. RNAcentral's name for it is "partial 16S ribosomal RNA". It matches the Rfam family "Bacterial small subunit ribosomal RNA", at positions 331 to 793 of the family's 1533-position model. The record is from RNAcentral.
CCAGACUCCUACGGGAGGCAGCAGUGGGGAAUAUUGCGCAAUGGGCGAAAGCCUGACGCAGCGACGCCGCGUGAGGGAAGACGGCCUUCGGGUUGUAAACCUCUGUCGCAGGGGACGAAGGAGAUGACGGUACCCUGUGAGGAAGCCACGGCUAACUACGUGCCAGCAGCCGCGGUAAUACGUAGGUGGCGAGCGUUGUCCGGAAUUACUGGGUGUAAAGGGAGCGUAGGCGGGAUAUUAAGUUGAAUGUAUAAACUACCGGCUUAACCGAUAGAAGCGUUCAAAACUGAUAUUCUUGAGUGAAGUAGAGGCAGGCGGAAUUCCUAGUGUAGCGGUGAAAUGCGUAGAUAUUAGGAGGAACACCAGUGGCGAAGGCGGUCUGCUGGACAGCAACUGACGGUGAGGCGCGAAAGCGUGGGGAGCAAACAGGAUUAGAUACCCGCGUAU